RNAcentral lists this ribosomal RNA (372 nucleotides) under uncultured organism. RNAcentral's name for it is "bacterial SSU rRNA". It matches the Rfam family "Bacterial small subunit ribosomal RNA", at positions 526 to 896 of the family's 1533-position model. The record is from RNAcentral.
CAGAGGUCUCAACCGUUGUUCGGAUUCAUUGGGCGUAAAGGGUGCGUAGGCGGUCGCGCAAGUCGGAUGUGAAAUCCCAGGGCUCAACCCUGGAACUGCAUUCGAUACUGCGUGGCUCGGGUACUGGAGAGGAGACUGGAAUUUACGGUGUAGCAGUGAAAUGCGUAGAUAUCGUAAGGAAGACCAGUGGCGAAGGCGAGUCUCUGGACAGUUACCGACGCUGAGGCACGAAGGCCAGGGGAGCAAACGGGAUUAGAUACCCCGGUAGUCCUGGCAGUAAACGGUGCACGUUUGGUGUAGGCGGAUUCGACCCCGCCUGUGCCGGAGCUAACGCGUUAAACGUGCCGCCAGGGAAGUACGGUCGCAAGAUUA